UACGUAGGGUGCAGGCGUUAAUCGGAAUUACUGGGCGUAAAGCGUGCGCAGGCGGUUUGCUAAGACAGGUGUGAAAUCCCCGGGCUUAACCUGGGAACUGCGCUUGUAACUGGCAAGCUUGAGUGUGGCAGAGGGGGGUGGAAUUCCCAGUGUAGCGGUGAAAUGCGUAGAUAUUGGGAGGAACACCAGUGGCGAAGGCGGCUCACUGGACCGGAACUGACGCUGAGGCGCGAAAGCGUGGGGAGCAAACGGG
RNAcentral lists this ribosomal RNA (253 nucleotides) under uncultured bacterium. RNAcentral describes it as "partial 16S ribosomal RNA". It matches the Rfam family "Bacterial small subunit ribosomal RNA", at positions 524 to 776 of the family's 1533-position model. The record is from RNAcentral.